RNAcentral lists this small RNA (497 nucleotides) under uncultured bacterium. Its description in RNAcentral is "bacterial SSU rRNA". It matches the Rfam family "Bacterial small subunit ribosomal RNA", at positions 1 to 457 of the family's 1533-position model. The record is from RNAcentral.
AGAGUUUGAUCCUGGCUCAGUGCGGAUGGAUCACCUCCUUAGAGUUUGAUCAUGGCUCAGGAUGAACGCUGGCGGCGUGCCUAAUACAUGCAAGUCGAACGAGGCCCUUUGUAUUCGUACGAAGGUGUCCUAGUGGCGAACGGGUGAGUAACACGUAGGUGACCUGCCCCGAAGAGGGGGACAACCCCGGGAAACUGGGGCUAAUACCCCAUAACCUCCAGGGAGUUAGAGGGCCCUGGAGAAAAGGGAGCAAUCCGCUUCGGGAGGGGCCUGCGGCCCAUCAGCUUGUUGGUAGGGUAAUGGCCUACCAAGGCGACGACGGGUAGGGGACCUGAGAGGGUGACCCCCCACACUGGCACUGAAACACGGGCCAGACACCUACGGGUGGCAGCAGUAGGGAAUAUUGCCCAAUGGGCGAAAGCCUGAGGCAGCAACGCCGCGUGCGCGAUGAAGGCCUUCGGGUUGUAAAGCGCUUUUCUGGGGGAAGAGGAAGGACG